AGAGUUUGAUCCUGGCUCAGGAUGAACGCUGGCGGCGUGCCUAACACAUGCAAGUCGAGCGGACCUGAUUGAGUGAUUAGCUUGCUAUGAACUCAUGACUGGUUAGCGGCGGACGGGUGAGUAACGCGUGGGUAACCUGCCUCAUACAGGGGGAUAGCAGUUGGAAACGACUGGUAAUACCGCAUAAGCGCACAGUACCGCAUGGUACAGUGUGAAAAACUCCGGUGGUAUGAGAUGGACCCGCGUCCGAUUAGCCAGUUGGCGGGGUAACGGCCCACCAAAGCGACGAUCGGUAGCCGGCCUGAGAGGGCGGACGGCCACAUUGGGACUGAGACACGGCCCAGACUCCUACGGGAGGCAGCAGUGGGGGAUAUUGCACAAUGGAGGAAACUCUGAUGCAGCGACGCCGCGUGGGUGAAGAAGUAUUUCGGUAUGUAAAGCCCUAUCAGCAGGGACGAUAAUGACGGUACCUGACUAAGAAGCCCCGGCUAACUACGUGCCAGCAGCCGCGGU
This 513-nucleotide ribosomal RNA is filed under the name uncultured Coprococcus sp. Its description in RNAcentral is "bacterial SSU rRNA". It matches the Rfam family "Bacterial small subunit ribosomal RNA", at positions 8 to 521 of the family's 1533-position model. Lineage: Bacteria; Bacillati; Bacillota; Clostridia; Lachnospirales; Lachnospiraceae. The record is from RNAcentral.